This 254-nucleotide ribosomal RNA is filed under the name uncultured bacterium. RNAcentral's name for it is "partial 16S ribosomal RNA". It matches the Rfam family "Bacterial small subunit ribosomal RNA", at positions 524 to 776 of the family's 1533-position model. The record is from RNAcentral.
AACGGGGGUCCCAAACGUUGUCCGGUAUUAUUGGGCGUAAAGAGUUCUGUAGGCGGUAGUGUAAGUUACGGGUUAAAUCCUUCGGCUCAACCGAAGAACCGCUUGUAAUACUGCAUUACUAGAAAUAUACAGGGGAGGGCGGAACGCAUGGUGUAGCGGUAAAAUGCGUUGAUAUCAUGCGGAACACCGAAGGCGUAGGCAGCCCUCUGGGUAUUAUUUGACGCUAAGAGACGAAAGCGUGGGGAGCAAAACGG